Molecule: ribosomal RNA, 494 nt
Filed under: uncultured bacterium
Lineage: Bacteria
Description: bacterial SSU rRNA
Rfam family: Bacterial small subunit ribosomal RNA
Source: RNAcentral
AUUGAACGCUGGCGGCAUGCCUUACACAUGCAAGUCGAACGGCAGCACGGGAGCAAUCCUGGUGGCGAGUGGCGAACGGGUGAGUAAUAUAUCGGAACGUGCCCAGUCGUGGGGGAUAACGUAGCGAAAGCUACGCUAAUACCGCAUACGAUCUAUGGAUGAAAGCGGGGGUCGCAAGACCUCGCGCGAUUGGAGCGGCCGAUAUCAGAUUAGCUAGUUGGUGGGGUAAAAGGACCCACCAAGGCGACGAUCUGUAGCUGGUCUGAGAGGACGACCAGCCACACUGGAACUGAGACACGGUCCAGACUCCUACGGGAGGCAGCAGUGGGGAAUUUUGGACAAUGGGCGCAAGCCUGAUCCAGCAAUGCCGCGUGCAGGAUGAAGGCCUCGGUUGUAAACUAGCUUUGUUACGGAACGAAACGGUAGAGCUCUAAUAAAGUUUAGUCUAAUGACGGUACCGUAAGAAUAAGCACCGGCGUAACUAACGUGCCAGC